This is a long non-coding RNA of Cyprinodon tularosa, 267 nucleotides long. RefSeq lists it as uncharacterized. The record is from RefSeq and is a predicted model, not a curated record. Lineage: Eukaryota; Metazoa; Chordata; Actinopteri; Cyprinodontiformes; Cyprinodontidae. The transcript is spliced from 2 exons.
UUGUAGGGAACAAUCAGCUUCUCUCCCACGGUGACCGUCUUCCUGGUCGUCAGAGCUUCAAAAAGCAUGUCCUCUCUCACCUGGCCGUAACACAGGCAACAGAACAAGUGAAGUGAAGCUCUUCUGCAGUACCUCCAGCAGCUCUGAAACAACCGGCAGCACCUCAGGGUUGCAGAUGUCGAUAGAGUCGUCCCUGUACGUCUUCUUCUUGUAGCGGAUGUUUCCCAGGUGAAGGAUGGCCGACAGCAGAGAAAAGAUCCUGACAAA